RNAcentral lists this ribosomal RNA (264 nucleotides) under uncultured bacterium. RNAcentral's name for it is "partial 16S ribosomal RNA". It matches the Rfam family "Bacterial small subunit ribosomal RNA", at positions 793 to 1055 of the family's 1533-position model. The record is from RNAcentral.
GUCCACGCCCUAAACUAUGUCAACUGGUUGUCGGGGAAGCAAUUCCUUGGUAACGAAGCUAACGCGUGAAGUUUACCGCCUGGGGAGUACGGCCGCAAGGUUAAAACUCAAAGGAAUUGACGGGGACCCGCACAAGCGGUGGAUUAUGUGGAUUAAUUCGAUGCAACGCGAAAAACCUUACCUACCCUUGACAUGUACGGAACCUUGCAGAGAUGUGAGGGUGCUCGAAAGAGAACCGUAACACAGGUGCUGCAUGGCUGUCGU